UUUUUGCAUGGCGAACCGUCACCGGAUGGUGUGCCUGUACAAACAAUCGUUUGACUAGCCUGCAAAAACGCC
This 72-nucleotide non-coding RNA is filed under the name unclassified sequences. RNAcentral's name for it is "DUF3800-IX RNA". It matches the Rfam family "DUF3800-IX RNA". From Rfam's summary of the family: Actinobacteria, Firmicutes (1 example), Nitrospirae, Proteobacteria, Verrucomicrobia (1 example). Nearby to DUF3800 The record is from Rfam by way of RNAcentral.